GGGAUGGCGGUGGGAGUCUGCUCCAUGCUUUGUGCAGCUCUCAGGUGGAGUCUCUGUCCCUCCAGGACUGCAGCCUGGGAAGGUUGGAGCUCAAAUGAGCACCUGUUGAGUUGCCGUGAGCUGCUUGGAUGUUGCCUCUGCCACCUGCCAGCCUCCCUGAUGGACAGAGUCCCCUCUCGACUUGGACAGGAACCAGGUGACCAAUGGUCGGCGGCUCCAUAGUCCCACCCCACAGCUGACUUCUGCACAGUGGCAUCUCCAGGACACCUGCUGCCUCCAUCUCUUGGCAGAGCCCACAGCCCGGGGAGCAGGAGUGGGGACGGGGGUAAAGACGGUUCCUAUUUCCACAACAGAGUCUCCACACUGCCUCCCACUUUCAAACCAGAAACUCUCGAGUAGACAAAGAUGCCUUGUGAUCCAA
This 421-nucleotide non-coding RNA is filed under the name Pongo abelii (Sumatran orangutan). The record is from RNAcentral. Lineage: Eukaryota; Metazoa; Chordata; Mammalia; Primates; Hominidae.